This 1091-nucleotide long non-coding RNA is filed under the name Vitis vinifera (wine grape). Its description in RNAcentral is "long non-coding RNA (VVIN_LNC005691)". Lineage: Eukaryota; Viridiplantae; Streptophyta; Magnoliopsida; Vitales; Vitaceae. The record is from RNAcentral.
GACUCAAGGCUGAGAUAGCGAAGGAUUGCAGCAGUCUAGUGCUCAGCAUGGAUGAACAUCAGAGAGUGACUGAUGAAUUUCGUGGGGCAAAAGUUUGGUGGGCUGCCAGCAAAGUAGUUCCACCCGCACGGUCGUCAGUUUCUUUUUAUCCAGAAAAAGAAAAGAGAUACUACAAGCUCAUAUUCCAUAAAAAGUACAGGGAGAUCAUGACUGACAAUUACUUGGAGCAUGUAGUGAAGGAGGGGAAGGAAAUCGGAGUAAGGAACAGGCAAAGGAAGCUUUACACCAACUGCAGCAACCAUAGAUGGCCAAGCCACAAUCAGCCUAUGUGGAGCCAUGUGGCAUUUGAGCAUCCAGCAACAUUUGAGACAAUCGCUUUGGAACCAGAGAAGAAGCAAGAUAUCAUUGAUGAUCUCGACUUUUAGCAAGAGCAAGGAUUAUUAUGCUAGGAUUGGGAAGGUGUGGAAGCGGGGUUAUCUCCUUUAUGGCCCACCAGGAACUGGUAAAUCCACCAUGAUUGCUGCAAUGGCUAAUCUAUUGAGCUAUGAUGUUUAUGAUCUUGAGCUUACAGCAGUGAAGGACAACACCGAGCUGAGGAAGCUUUUGAUUGAGACAACCAAUAAAUCUAUUAUAGUGAUUGAAGAUAUAGAUUGCUCGCUUGAUCUUACAGGUCAGAGGAAGAAGAAAGAGGAGAAAUCCUCUGAAAGCCAGGAGGAUGAGAAGGUGAAGGAAAUUUCCAGGAAGGACAACAGGGAAGAGAGCAGCAAAGUCACCCUCUCAGGGCUUUUGAAUUUCAUUGACGGGCUAUGGUCUGCUUGUGGAGGGGAGAGGCUAAUCGUCUUCACUACAAACUAUGUGGAGAAGCUGGACCCCGCACUAAUAAGAAGGGGUCGAAUGGACAAGCAUAUUGAGUUCUCCUACUGCAGUUUCAAGGCAUUCAAAGUGCUAGCAAAUAAUUACCUGGGUCUUGAGACACAUCCACUGUUUGAAAUGAUUCAACAGUCAAUGGAGGAGACCAAUAUCACGCCUGCUGAUGUUGCAGAGAACCUCAUGCCCAAAUCCCCAACAGAAGAUGCAGAGAAAUGUCUUUU